RNAcentral lists this ribosomal RNA (265 nucleotides) under uncultured bacterium. Its description in RNAcentral is "partial 16S ribosomal RNA". It matches the Rfam family "Bacterial small subunit ribosomal RNA", at positions 793 to 1055 of the family's 1533-position model. The record is from RNAcentral.
GUCCACGCCGUAAACGAUGUCGACUAGCCGUUGGAGACCCUCGUGGUUUUUAGUGGCGCAGCUAACGCGAUAAGUCGACCGCCUGGGAAGUACGGCCGCAAGGUUGAAACUCAAAUGAAUUGACGGGGGCCCGCACAAGCGGUGGAGCAUGUGGUUUAAUUCGAUGCAACGCGAAGAACCUUACCUACUCUUGACAUCCACAGAAUCCUGCAGAGAUGCGGGAGUGCCUUCGGGAAUUGUGAGACAGGUGCUGCAUGGCUGUCGU